This 350-nucleotide long non-coding RNA is filed under the name Prunus persica (peach). RNAcentral's name for it is "long non-coding RNA (PPER_LNC000093)". The record is from RNAcentral. Lineage: Eukaryota; Viridiplantae; Streptophyta; Magnoliopsida; Rosales; Rosaceae.
CGAUUUUUUCCAUCUGGUGUGGCUCGGUGUUCCAAUUUUCCAUUCUCCAUGUCCACACCUAAUAUAGAUAAGAAGAAAAACAAACAGAUCAUACGCAGACGAACAUAGGCACACAACCGAAAGUCUUUCAAAUUAAAAAAAUUAAAAAAUUCAUCAUAAAGAUAACAAGAAACGCACACUAACACACAACCCAAGAACUCACCCCCGCUUCGCCUUCAGAGCCAAUUUCUCGCGGCAAAGCCAUGUGCACUCUUGAGAAGCGCGGUGAUCUCUUCUUCCUAACCCUAACCUGCGACGACGAGCACCGCCUCAGCCUAACCCUCAUCGACUCGCUCCUCUCGGCUCUCUCC